UACAGAGGGUGCAAGCGUUGUUCGGAAUUACUGGGCGUAAAGCGCACGUAGGUGGCGACGUAAGUCGGGUGUGAAAGCCCCGGGCUCAACCUGGGAAUUGCAUUCGAGACUGCAUUGCUGGAGUACGGAAGAGGAGGGCGGAAUUCCCGGUGUAGCGGUGAAAUGCGUAGAUAUCGGGAGGAACAUCAGUGGCGAAGGCGGCCCUCUGGUCCAGUACUGACACUCAAGUGCGAAAGCGUGGGGAGCGAACAGG
This 253-nucleotide ribosomal RNA is filed under the name uncultured bacterium. RNAcentral's name for it is "partial 16S ribosomal RNA". It matches the Rfam family "Bacterial small subunit ribosomal RNA", at positions 524 to 776 of the family's 1533-position model. The record is from RNAcentral.